AGUAGUCACGUAGUUUGAUCAUGGCUACAGAACGAACGCUGGCGGCAUGCCUAACACAUGCAAGUCGAACGAGACCUUCGGGUCUAGUGGCGCACGGGUGCGUAACACGUGGGAAUUUGCCUCGGGGUAUGGAAUAACUCAGGGAAACUUGAGCUAAUACCAUAUAAUGUCUUCGGACCAAAGAUUUAUCGCCCUGAGAUAAGCCCGCGUAGGAUUAGCUAGUUGGUGGGGUAAAGGCCUACCAAGGCGACGAUCCGUAUCUGGUUUGAGAGGACGAUCAGACACACUGGAACUGAGACACGGUCCAGACUCCUACGGGAGGCAGCAGUGGGGGAAUUUUCCGCAAUGGGCGAAAGCCUGACGGAGCAAUACCGCGUGAGGGAAGAAUGCCUAUGGGUUGUAAACCUCUUUUUUCAGGGAGGAAUCAAAUGACGUGUACCUGAAGAAUAAGCAUCGGCUAACUCCGUG
Molecule: ribosomal RNA, 468 nt
Filed under: uncultured bacterium
Lineage: Bacteria
Description: bacterial SSU rRNA
Rfam family: Bacterial small subunit ribosomal RNA
Source: RNAcentral